This 613-nucleotide long non-coding RNA is filed under the name Mus pahari (shrew mouse). Its description in RNAcentral is "predicted gene 28493 (MGP_PahariEiJ_G0005525.1)". Lineage: Eukaryota; Metazoa; Chordata; Mammalia; Rodentia; Muridae. The record is from RNAcentral.
UACAAAGAAGUUCACAAGGCAAAUGUUUGAGGAUAACUCAGGCUCAAGGCAGUAUAUGUCUGAGGGGCAUUUCUCAUGGCAGGCCUGUUAUGGUCCACAAUACUGAUAGUCUGCUCAGCCAGACUCAAGAUAUUCAGCCUUUUCACAGCUAAUUCUUUGUCUUUUUUUUUUUUUUUUUUUUGAAUGUCUUUCUGGCAAAGUUAACAACAAAAACCAUGAAAUGGUCUCCGAUGUACUAAACAGCUGUCUUGGAGAUCAGAAGGUGUCAGCAAAGCACCUAGCGUUGUCUAAUCCCAAAGGAAGAUCUUGCUUAAGUGGAGAAGUGCUUGCAGCAGAAACCUUGGAAAUUUCAGGAGUGGGAUUUUUUUUUUUUUUUUUUUUAUUGUCAGAACUUUCAAUAAAAGUGCAGCCACAAAUCCUGGGAGCAUGAAAUAAAAAUUCCCAACAAGCUGUCUUACCUGCAUGCACUCCACUGAAGGCAAGGGCAAACACUGCUUCCAUGUCAGUCAAAACUCUGACAGCUAGCCUGUGAAGUUUGACGGGCUGCCAUGUGCUAGACUACCUAAGAUGCUCUUAACUGAGCCAUAAAAAGACAAAUAAAUUAGUAAUUGUA